Molecule: ribosomal RNA, 503 nt
Filed under: uncultured bacterium
Lineage: Bacteria
Description: bacterial SSU rRNA
Rfam family: Bacterial small subunit ribosomal RNA
Source: RNAcentral
AGAGUUUGAUCCUGGCUCAGGAUGAACGCUGGCGGCGUGCUUAACACAUGCAAGUCGAACGAAGAUGCCGGAGUGCUUGCACUUUGGCAGACUGAGUGGCGGACGGGUGAGUAACGCGUGGGUAACCUGCCUUAUACAGGGGGAUAACAGUUGGAAACGACUGCUAAUACCGCAUAAGCGCACGGUAUCGCAUGAUACAGUGUGAAAAACUCCGGUGGUAUAAGAUGGACCCGCGUCUGAUUAGCUUGUUGGUGAGGUAACGGCUCACCAAGGCGACGAUCAGUAGCCGGCCUGAGAGGGUGAACGGCCACAUUGGGACUGAGACACGGCCCAAACUCCUACGGGAGGCAGCAGUGGGGAAUAUUGCACAAUGGGGGAAACCCUGAUGCAGCGACGCCGCGUGAGUGAUGAAGUAUUUCGGUAUGUAAAACUCUAUCAGCAGGGAAGAUAAUGACGGUACCUGACUAAGAAGCACCGGCUAAAUACGUGCCAGCAGCCGCGGU